RNAcentral lists this microRNA precursor (124 nucleotides) under Hordeum vulgare. RNAcentral's name for it is "microRNA MIR1122". It matches the Rfam family "MIR1120/MIR1122 microRNA precursor family". The record is from RNAcentral. Lineage: Eukaryota; Viridiplantae; Streptophyta; Magnoliopsida; Poales; Poaceae.
UUUGUACUUCCUUCAUUCAAAAAUACUUGUGAGAUAAAUGGAUGCAUUUAGAUGUAUUUUAGUUCUAGAUACAUUCAUUUGAUCCAUUUCUUCAAUAAGUAUUUCCGGACGGAGGGAGUGUAAA